RNAcentral lists this ribosomal RNA (845 nucleotides) under Pratylenchus thornei. RNAcentral describes it as "SSU rRNA". It matches the Rfam family "Eukaryotic small subunit ribosomal RNA", at positions 51 to 903 of the family's 1831-position model. Lineage: Eukaryota; Metazoa; Nematoda; Chromadorea; Rhabditida; Pratylenchidae. The record is from RNAcentral.
AUGCAUGUAUAAGUAUAAACGCUUUAAGCGUGAAACUGCGUACGGCUCAUUACAACAGCAAUAAUUUACUUGAUCUUGACAACCUACAUGGAUAACUGUGGUAAUUCUAGAGCUAAUACAUGCACCAAAGCUCCGACCCGCGAGGGGAGAGCGCAUUUAUUAGAACAAAACCAAGCGGCUUCGGCCGUCCAUUGUUGACUCAGAAUAACUAAGCUGAUCGUACGGUCUUGCACCGACGACGUGUCUUUCAAGUUUCUGCCUUAUCAACUUUCGAUGGUAGUGUAUCUGACUACCAUGGUGGUGACGGGUAACGGAGGAUAAGGGUUCGACUCCGGAGAAGGGGCCUGAGAAAUGGCCACUACGUCUAAGGAUGGCAGCAGGCGCGCAAAUUACCCACUCUCAAUGCGAGGAGGUAGUGACGAGAAAUAACGAGGCCGUUCUCUUUGAGGCCGGUCAUCGGAAUGGGUACAAUUUAAACCCUUUAACGAGUAUCUAUGAGAGGGCAAGUCUGGUGCCAGCAGCCGCGGUAAUUCCAGCUCUCAAAAUGCAUAGAAUUAUUGCUGCGGUUAAAAAGCUCGUAGUUGGAUCUGUGCCUGUGCUCCGGUCCACCUCGCGGUGCGCACUGGGUGUCACAGGCUUUCCUGCAGUGUUCAGCCCCGGCGCCUUCACCGGCACCGGUGUGUUGAUGCUGCAAGUUUACUUUGAACAAAUCGGAGUGCUCCAAACAGGCGUUUGCUUGAACGUUCGUGCAUGGAAUAAUAGAAGAGGAUUUCGGUUCAAUUUUAUUGGUUUUAUUGGCCGAGAUAAUGGUUAACAGAGACGAACGGGGGCAUUUGUAUUGCUGC